This 98-nucleotide microRNA precursor is filed under the name Equus caballus (horse). RNAcentral describes it as "mir-544 microRNA precursor family". It matches the Rfam family "mir-544 microRNA precursor family". The record is from Rfam by way of RNAcentral. Lineage: Eukaryota; Metazoa; Chordata; Mammalia; Perissodactyla; Equidae.
AUCACUUGGGGAAUGUGUUAAAAUGCAGAUUCUGACUCAGUAGGUCUGAGAUGGGGCCUGAGAGUGUGCAUUUCUAACACACUCCCAGGUGAUAUUUU